RNAcentral lists this ribosomal RNA (242 nucleotides) under uncultured Actinomycetales bacterium. Its description in RNAcentral is "partial 16S ribosomal RNA". It matches the Rfam family "Bacterial small subunit ribosomal RNA", at positions 89 to 334 of the family's 1533-position model. The record is from RNAcentral. Lineage: Bacteria; Bacillati; Actinomycetota; Actinomycetes; Actinomycetales.
ACUCGAGUGGCGAACGGGUGAGUAACACGUGGGUGAUCUGCCUUGCACUCUGGGAUAAGCUUGGGAAACUGGGUCUAAUACCGGAUAGGAACCGUCUUUAGUGUGGUGGUUGGAAAGUUUUUUCGGUGCAAGAUGAGCUCGCGGCCUAUCAGCUUGUUGGUGGGGUAAUGGCCUACCAAGGCGUCGACGGGUAGCCGGCCUGAGAGGGUGGACGGCCACAUUGGGACUGAGAUACGGCCCAG